This 227-nucleotide long non-coding RNA is filed under the name Pan troglodytes (chimpanzee). RNAcentral's name for it is "long non-coding RNA NONPTRT001962". Lineage: Eukaryota; Metazoa; Chordata; Mammalia; Primates; Hominidae. The record is from RNAcentral.
GAUGUUGGGGUGUACGUGCCGUGGGAGGUUUUGUUGAGAUGUUGGGGUGUGUGUGCUGUGUGAGGUUUUGUUGAGAUGUUGGGGUGUGCGUGCCGUGUGAGGUUUUGUUGAGAUGUUGGGUGUGUGCUGUGUGAGGUUUUGUUGAGAUGUUGGGGUGUGCCUGCUGUGUGAGGGCCGGCCUUGUUUCUGUUUACUGAUGCCUCCUGGGCCUCACACAGGGAAGGGUG